AAUCUAGGAGGCAGGUGCUCACUUGUCCUCCUCCAUGUUUGGAAAAUACAGGGAGGAGGCCAUAGUGGCAACUGUCACCAUGAUU
MicroRNA precursor from Microcebus murinus (gray mouse lemur), 85 nucleotides. NCBI's taxonomy places the organism in Eukaryota, Metazoa, Chordata, Mammalia, Primates, Cheirogaleidae. The record is from Ensembl.